RNAcentral lists this ribosomal RNA (464 nucleotides) under Microbacterium sp. Its description in RNAcentral is "bacterial SSU rRNA". It matches the Rfam family "Bacterial small subunit ribosomal RNA", at positions 889 to 1353 of the family's 1533-position model. Lineage: Bacteria; Bacillati; Actinomycetota; Actinomycetes; Micrococcales; Microbacteriaceae. The record is from RNAcentral.
CAAGGUUAAAACUCAAAGGAAUUGACGGGGACCCGCACAAGCGGCGGAGCAUGCGGAUUAAUUCGAUGCAACGCGAAGAACCUUACCAAGGCUUGACAUAUACGAGAACGGGCCAGAAAUGGUCAACUCUUUGGACACUCGUAAACAGGUGGUGCAUGGUUGUCGUCAGCUCGUGUCGUGAGAUGUUGGGUUAAGUCCCGCAACGAGCGCAACCCUCGUUCUAUGUUGCCAGCACGUAAUGGUGGGAACUCAUGGGAUACUGCCGGGGUCAACUCGGAGGAAGGUGGGGAUGACGUCAAAUCAUCAUGCCCCUUAUGUCUUGGGCUUCACGCAUGCUACAAUGGCCGGUACAAAGGGCUGCAAUACCGCGAGGUGGAGCGAAUCCCAAAAAGCCGGUCCCAGUUCGGAUUGAGGUCUGCAACUCGACCUCAUGAAGUCGGAGUCGCUAGUAAUCGCAGAUCAGC